AGUCGAGCGGACAGAUGGGAGCUUGCUCCCUGAUGUUAGCGGGGGACGGGUGAGUAACACGUGGGUAACCUGCCUGUAAGACUGGGAUAACUCCGGGAAACCGGGGCUAAUACCGGAUGGUUGUCUGAACCGCAUGGUUCAGACAUAAAAGGUGGCUUCGGCUACCACUUACAGAUGGACCCGCGGCGCAUUAGCUAGUUGGUGAGGUAACGGCUCACCAAGGCGACGAUGCGUAGCCGACCUGAGAGGGUGAUCGGCCACACUGGGACUGAGACACGGCCCAGACUCCUACGGGAGGCAGCAGUAGGGAAUCUUCCGCAAUGGACGAAAGUCUGACGGAGCAACGCCGCGUGAGUGAUGAAGGUUUUCGGAUCGUAAAGCUCUGUUGUUAGGGAAGAACUGGUGCCGUUCAAAUAGGGCGGCACCUUGACGGUACCUAACCAAAAAGCCACGGCUAACUACGUGCCAGCAGCCGCGGUAAUACGUAGGUGGCAAGCGUUGUCCGGAAUUAUUGGGCGUAAAGGGCUCGCAAGCGGUUUCUUAAGUCUGAUGUGAAAGCCCCCGGCUCAACCGGGGAGGGUCAUUGGAAACUGGGGAACUUGAGUGCAUAAGAGGAGAGUGGAAUUCCACGUGUAGCGGUGAAAUGCGUAGAGAUGUGGAGGAACACCAGUGGCGAAGGCGACUCUCUGGUCUGUAACUGACGCUGAGGAGCGAAAGCGUGGGGAGCGAACAGGAUUAGAUACCCUGGUAGUCCACGCCGUAAACGAUGAGUGCUAAGUGUUAGGAGGUUUCCGCCCCUU
This 800-nucleotide ribosomal RNA is filed under the name Bacillus amyloliquefaciens. RNAcentral describes it as "bacterial SSU rRNA". It matches the Rfam family "Bacterial small subunit ribosomal RNA", at positions 60 to 841 of the family's 1533-position model. The record is from RNAcentral. Lineage: Bacteria; Bacillati; Bacillota; Bacilli; Caryophanales; Bacillaceae.